GGGGAUAUAGCUCAGAGUUAGAGAGCUUGCUUAUCAUGCAUGAAGUUCUGGGUUCAAUCUCCAGUACCACCA
RNAcentral lists this transfer RNA (72 nucleotides) under Fukomys damarensis (Damara mole-rat). It matches the Rfam family "tRNA". From Rfam's summary of the family: Transfer RNA (tRNA) molecules are approximately 80 nucleotides in length. Their secondary structure includes four short double-helical elements and three loops (D, anti-codon, and T loops). Lineage: Eukaryota; Metazoa; Chordata; Mammalia; Rodentia; Bathyergidae. The record is from Rfam by way of RNAcentral.